UGUCUUGUAGCUCAAGUUGGUAGAGCGUCGAUCUAGUAUUUCGAAGGUCGCGGGUUCAAAACCCAGCCGCGGCAG
Molecule: transfer RNA, 75 nt
Filed under: Paramuricea clavata
Lineage: Eukaryota; Metazoa; Cnidaria; Anthozoa; Malacalcyonacea; Plexauridae
Description: tRNA-Thr
Rfam family: tRNA
About the family: Transfer RNA (tRNA) molecules are approximately 80 nucleotides in length. Their secondary structure includes four short double-helical elements and three loops (D, anti-codon, and T loops). Further hydrogen bonds mediate the characteristic L-shaped molecular structure. tRNAs have two regions of fundamental functional importance: the anti-codon, which is responsible for specific mRNA codon recognition, and the 3' end, to which the tRNAs corresponding amino acid is attached (by aminoacyl-tRNA synthetases). tRNAs cope with the degeneracy of the genetic code in two manners: having more than one tRNA (with a specific anti-codon) for a particular amino acid; and 'wobble' base-pairing, i.e. permitting non-standard base-pairing at the 3rd anti-codon position.
Source: RNAcentral